RNAcentral lists this ribosomal RNA (110 nucleotides) under Laetiporus sulphureus. Its description in RNAcentral is "5.8S ribosomal RNA". It matches the Rfam family "5.8S ribosomal RNA", at positions 42 to 150 of the family's 154-position model. From Rfam's summary of the family: 5.8S ribosomal RNA (5.8S rRNA) is a component of the large subunit of the eukaryotic ribosome. Lineage: Eukaryota; Fungi; Basidiomycota; Agaricomycetes; Polyporales; Laetiporaceae. The record is from RNAcentral.
AACGCAGCGAAAUGCGGAUAAGUAAUGUGAAUUGCAGAAUUCAGUGAAUCAUCGAAUCUUUGAACGCACCUUGCGCUCCUUGGCAUUCCGAGGAGCAUGCCUGUUUGAGU